Molecule: ribosomal RNA, 491 nt
Filed under: uncultured bacterium
Lineage: Bacteria
Description: partial 16S ribosomal RNA
Rfam family: Bacterial small subunit ribosomal RNA
Source: RNAcentral
AGUGAACGCUGGCGGUAGGCCUAACACAUGCAAGUCGAACGGCAGCACAGUAAGAGCUUGCUCUUACGGGUGGCGAGUGGCGGACGGGUGAGGAAUACAUCGGAAUCUACUUUUUCGUGGGGGAUAACGUAGGGAAACUUACGCUAAUACCGCAUACGACCUACGGGUGAAAGCAGGGGAUCUUCGGACCUUGCGCGAUUGAAUGAGCCGAUGUCGGAUUAGCUAGUUGGCGGGGUAAAGGCCCACCAAGGCGACGAUCCGUAGCUGGUCUGAGAGGAUGAUCAGCCACACUGAGACUGAGACACGGUCCAGACUCCUACGGGAGGCAGCAGUGGGGAAUAUUGGACGAUGGGCGCAAGCCUGAUCCAGCCAUACCGCGUGGGUGAAGAAGGCCUUCGGGUUGUAAAGCCCUUUUGUUGGGAAAGAAAAGCAGCAGGUUAAUACCCCGCUGUUCUGACGGUACCCAAAGAAUAAGCACCGGCUAACUUCGU